This 336-nucleotide unclassified non-coding RNA is filed under the name soil metagenome. RNAcentral describes it as "partial contains 5.8S ribosomal RNA, internal transcribed spacer 2, and large subunit ribosomal RNA". The stretch from base 1 to 120 matches the Rfam family "5.8S ribosomal RNA", at positions 35 to 154 of the family's 154-position model. The record is from RNAcentral.
GAUGAAGAACGUAGCGAAAUGCGAUAAGUAAUGUGAAUUGCAGAAUUCAGUGAAUCAUCGAAUCUUUGAAUGCACAUUGCGCCCGCCAGUAUUCUGGCGGGCAUCCCUGUUCGAGCGUCAUUUCAACCAUCAAGCCCCAGGCUUGUGUUGGGGACCUGCGGCUGCCGCAGGCCCUGAAAACCAGUGGCGGGCUCGCUGUCACACCGGGCGUAGUAGAUUUUAUCUCGCUCAGGGCGUGCUGCGGGUUCCGGCCGUUAAAAAGCCUUUUUUACCCAAGGUUGACCUCGGAUCAGGUAGGAAGACCCGCUGAACUUAAGCAUAUCAAUAAGCGGAGGA